UACGUAGGGUGCGAGCGUUGUCCGGAAUUAUUGGGCGUAAAGAGCUUGUAGGCGGUUUGUCGCGUCUGCUGUGAAAUCUCAAGGCUCAACCUUGAGCUUGCAGUGGGUACGGGCAGACUAGAGUGUUGCAGGGGAGACUGGAAUUCCUGGUGUAGCGGUGAAAUGCGCAGAUAUCAGGAAGAACACCCGUGGCUAAGGCGGCUCUCUAGUACGGUACUGACGCUGAGACGCGAAAGCGUGGGGAGCGAACAGG
RNAcentral lists this ribosomal RNA (253 nucleotides) under uncultured bacterium. RNAcentral's name for it is "partial 16S ribosomal RNA". It matches the Rfam family "Bacterial small subunit ribosomal RNA", at positions 524 to 776 of the family's 1533-position model. The record is from RNAcentral.